Non-coding RNA from Pelobates cultripes (western spadefoot toad), 407 nucleotides. NCBI's taxonomy places the organism in Eukaryota, Metazoa, Chordata, Amphibia, Anura, Pelobatidae. The record is from the annotation of a GenBank genome assembly.
ACUUCUGAUAUCCCGACCCUUGGCUAGUUUAUUCGUAUUGUCUCAUUCUGUAUCCCCGACCUUGGCUUGUUAUUUGACCAUUCUCUUUUACGUUAAGUACGGCCAUUCUAAAGUCCGGUAUACUUUGUUUGUGUUAAUAUAGUUUUGUGUGUUGGGUCACACAGUAAUCGUGACACUGAGACUGUCAAGGAGGCAGAUCAGAGGCAGAACCAGCACAAGUCAAACAAUCGGGGCAGAACCAGCAACAAGUCAGCCCUGGCCAAUCAUCAGCUCCUCAUAGAGAUGAAUUGAAGCAAUGAAUCUUCAUGAGGAAAGUUCAGUCUCCAUGCAGAGGGUGGAGACUCUGAAUGUCAGUGCUGCACACUGUAAAGCACUGCACCAGGAAGCACAUCUAGCAGCCAUAUUAG